GACGAACGCUGGCGGCGUGCUUAACACAUGCAAGUCGAACGAAGAGCGAUGGAAGCUUGCUUCUAUCAAUCUUAGUGGCGAACGGGUGAGUAACGCGUAAUCAACCUGCCCUUCAGAGGGGGACAACAGUUGGAAACGACUGCUAAUACCGCAUACGAUCUAACCUCGGCAUCGAGGAUAGAUGAAAGGUGGCCUCUACAUGUAAGCUAUCACUGAAGGAGGGGAUUGCGUCUGAUUAGCUAGUUGGAGGGGUAACGGCCCACCAAGGCGAUGAUCAGUAGCCGGUCUGAGAGGAUGAACGGCCACAUUGGGACUGAGACACGGCCCAGACUCCUACGGGAGGCAGCAGUGGGGAAUCUUCCGCAAUGGACGAAAGUCUGACGGAGCAACGCCGCGUGAGUGAUGACGGCCUUCGGGUUGUAAAGCUCUGUUAAUCGGGACGAAAGGCCUUCUUGCGAAUAG
RNAcentral lists this ribosomal RNA (462 nucleotides) under Veillonella parvula. RNAcentral describes it as "bacterial SSU rRNA". It matches the Rfam family "Bacterial small subunit ribosomal RNA", at positions 28 to 466 of the family's 1533-position model. The record is from RNAcentral. Lineage: Bacteria; Bacillati; Bacillota; Negativicutes; Veillonellales; Veillonellaceae.